RNAcentral lists this ribosomal RNA (477 nucleotides) under uncultured organism. RNAcentral describes it as "partial 16S ribosomal RNA". It matches the Rfam family "Bacterial small subunit ribosomal RNA", at positions 333 to 801 of the family's 1533-position model. The record is from RNAcentral.
ACACUCCUGCGGGAGGCAGCAGUGGGGAAUUUUGGACAAUGGGCGAAAGCCUGAACCAGCAAUGCCGCGUGAGUGAAGAAGGCCUUCGGGUUGUAAAGCUCUUUUGUCAGGGAAGAAACGGUGAAAGCUAAUAUCUUUUGCUAAUGACGGUACCUGAAGAAUAAGCACCGGCUAACUACGUGCCAGCAGCCGCGGUAAUACGUAGGGUGCAAGCGUUAAUCGGAAUUACUGGGCGUAAAGCGUGCGCAGGCGGUUUUGUAAGUCUGAUGUGAAAUCCCCGGGCUCAACCUGGGAAUUGCAUUGGAGACUGCAAGGCUAGAAUCUGGCAGAGGGGGGUAGAAUUCCACGUGUAGCAGUGAAAUGCGUAGAUAUGUGGAGGAACACCGAUGGCGAAGGCAGCCCCCUGGGUCAAGAUUGACGCUCAUGCACGAAAGCGUGGGGAGCAAACAGGAUUAGAUACCCGGGUAGUCCCAUGAU